RNAcentral lists this ribosomal RNA (707 nucleotides) under uncultured bacterium. RNAcentral's name for it is "bacterial SSU rRNA". It matches the Rfam family "Bacterial small subunit ribosomal RNA", at positions 57 to 761 of the family's 1533-position model. The record is from RNAcentral.
GCAGUCGACGGCAGCACGGACUUCGGUCUGGUGGCGAGUGGCGAACGGGUGAGUAAUAUAUCGGAACGUGCCCAGUCGUGGGGGAUAACGUAGUGAAAAUUACGCUAAUACCGCAUACGAUCUAAGGAUGAAAGCGGGGGAUCGCAAGACCUCGCGCGAUUGGAGCGGCCGAUAUCAGAUUAGGUAGUUGGUGAGGUAAAGGCUCACCAAGCCAACGAUCUGUAGCUGGUCUGAGAGGACGACCAGCCACACUGGAACUGAGACACGGUCCAGACUCCUACGGGAGGCAGCAGUGGGGAAUUUUGGACAAUGGACGCAAGUCUGAUCCAGCCAUUCCGCGUGCAGGACGAAGGCCUUCGGGUUGUAAACUGCUUUUGUACAGAACGAAAAGGUCUCUAUUAAUACUAGGGGCUCAUGACGGUACUGUAAGAAUAAGCACCGGCUAACUACGUGCCAGCAGCCGCGGUAAUACGUAGGGUGCAAGCGUUAAUCGGAAUUACCGGGCGUAAAGCGUGCGCAGGCGGUUAUAUAAGACAGGUGUGAAAUCCCCGGGCUCAACCUGGGAACUGCAUUUGUGACUGUAUAGCUGGAGUGCGGCAGAGGGGGAUGGAAUUCCGCGUGUAGCAGUGAAAUGCGUAGAUAUGCGGAGGAACACCGAUGGCGAAGGCAAUCCCCUGGGCCUGCACUGACGCUCAUGCACGAAAGCG